RNAcentral lists this ribosomal RNA (221 nucleotides) under uncultured bacterium. RNAcentral's name for it is "partial 16S ribosomal RNA". It matches the Rfam family "Bacterial small subunit ribosomal RNA", at positions 328 to 538 of the family's 1533-position model. The record is from RNAcentral.
ACGCUCGACACCUACUGGAGGCAGCAGUGAGGAAUAUUGGUCAAUGGGCGCUAGCCUGAACCAGCCAAGUAGCGUGAAGGAUGAAGGCUCUAUGGGUCGUAAACUUUCUUUUAUAUAAGAAUAAAGUGCAGUAUGUAUACUGUUUUGUAUGUAUUAUAUGAAUAAGGAUCGGCUAACUCCGUGCCAGCAGCCGCGGUAAUCUGAGGCGGCUGGACGAAGGC